GUUUAAUCUGGCAACUUCAAGAAUUAUAAACCCCAAGUUUGAGUGCCAAUGGGAGGAAAUCUUUUGGAGAUCAAUUAACUGCUGCAUUUGAUCAUUAUGGUUGUAGAGAUGAUUACAAGGAAUGUAAGCUGCCGUGUUGGAGAAGCAUGGACUAACCUGCUGGAGGAAACUUGACCCAAGCAACAGCCAGCACUGAUUCCAAGACACAUGAAUGAGGCCAUCAAGGACCAGCAUCCUCUGGCAAUCUGUUGACUGACUGCAAACGCAUGAGUGAGACCAGCUCACCAUGGGAAGCAGAAAUGAAUCGCCCCAGCUGAGCCCAGCCCAAAUUGUUAACUUACAAAAUCAAGAAAACAUAAAUGAUAAACAUAA
Molecule: long non-coding RNA, 372 nt
Organism: Equus quagga
Lineage: Eukaryota; Metazoa; Chordata; Mammalia; Perissodactyla; Equidae
Exons: 3
Source: RefSeq, a predicted model, not a curated record